RNAcentral lists this ribosomal RNA (1345 nucleotides) under uncultured marine diplonemid. RNAcentral describes it as "SSU rRNA". It matches the Rfam family "Eukaryotic small subunit ribosomal RNA", at positions 1 to 1147 of the family's 1831-position model. The record is from RNAcentral. Lineage: Eukaryota; Euglenozoa; Diplonemea.
ACCUGGUUGAUCCUGCCAGUAGUCAUAUGCUUGUUUCAAGGACUAAGCCAUGCAAGUCUCAGAAUAAAUGGAUCACAGUGAGUCUGCAGACAGCUCAUUAAAUCAGCUACAAUCUACGCCGAGAAACUGCCUCAUGGCAGACUAUUGGAUAACUUUGGUAACCCCAAAGCUAAUACAUGUCAGCAAAACCCGCACAGAUUCCACCUCGGAGCCUCGGUUCUGGGGCUGUGUUGGGUGCAAUUGACCGAAUCAAAAACCAACGCUAGCAAUAGCAGCGGUGAUUGGAUGACUCAGGUCAAUCGAGUAGUAGCGCAUACUUCGGUGGCGCUUGUCGGCAUGAGCAUCUGCCCUAUCAGCUUUUGACGGUAGUGUAGUGGACUACCGUGGCUUUACGGGUAACGGGGAAUUAGGGUUCGAUUCCGGAGAGGGAGCCUGAGAAACGGCUACCACAACUAAGGUUGGCAGCAGGCGCGCAAAUUGCCCAAUAGCAACACAUCGCUGAGGCAGCGAAGAGAAAUAGCAACUUCAUGGGCCCUGCCAUGUGAAGAUUGCCAUGGACGAUAUCUAAACCUGUCGGUGAGUAUCAAUUGGUGGACAAGUCUGGUGCCAGCACCCGCGGUAAUUCCAGCACCAAUAGCGUAUAUUAAUGCUGCUGCUGUUAAAAAGCUCGUAGUUGGAUCAAGAGUUGGACAGUGCACGGUGGCCCCAUUUGUGUGGCUGGCUCCGGUCAGUUACACGGUGGCGGAACAACCCCGUGCGCCAAACUGUCCACUCUAACAGACCGAAGCGGUUCCCUGUGAGUAGGCUCCUUAAUUGGGGCUGAAAGCGCCUACGCAUCAACCAUAUGCAUACGGGACGUCGGUCAAAGUUACUGUGAACAAACCAGCGUGUCCAAGCAGGCUUUCGCCUGAAUGUUCGAGCAUGGAAUAACAAGGGAUCGAUUCUCUCGGUUCUUUUUGUUGGUUUUUAACCCGAGAAGGAGAAAUUCAGGCCACGGUGUCUGAGUUGGGUUUCCCAGGGCUUCGGCUCUGGCCCCAAUUAGGCCGUGUCCUUACGGGAUCAAUAGGGACUGACGGGGUCGUACCUACUUCCGCGUCAGAGGUGAAAUUCUUAGAUCGCGGGAAGAGGAACUUCAGCGAAAGCAUUCGACAAGAAUGUCUUCAUUAAUCAAGAACGAGAGUGUGGGGAUCGAAGAUGAUCAGAUACCGUCGUAGUCCACUACUGUAAACAAUGCCGUCUCAGGAUUGAGAAGUGAACAGAAUGACUUUCACAGCACUAACCCCUGAAACGAGAAAUCAAAGAUUAUGGGUUCAGGGGGGAGUACAUUCGCAAGGCUGAAACUUAA